This 406-nucleotide ribosomal RNA is filed under the name uncultured bacterium. Its description in RNAcentral is "partial 16S ribosomal RNA". It matches the Rfam family "Bacterial small subunit ribosomal RNA", at positions 30 to 526 of the family's 1533-position model. The record is from RNAcentral.
AUUGAACGCUGGCGGCAGGCCUAACACAUGCAAGUCGAACGCGUGGCGGACGGGUGAGUCUUGUUUGGGAAACUGCCUGAUGGAGGGGGAUAACUAUUGGAACCGGUAGCUAAUACCGCAUACCUUCCGAUGUGCCCUGAUGGUUUAUGCUUGUUGGUGGGGAAACGGCUCACGAAGGCGACGAUCCCUAGCUGGUCGGAGAGGAUGACCAGCCACACUGGAACUGAGACACGGUCCAGACUCCUACGGGAGGCAGCAGUGGGGAAUAUUGCACAAUGGGCGCAAGCCUGAUGCAGCCAUGCCGCGUGUAUGAAGAAGGCCUUCGGGUUGUAAAGUACUUUCAGCGGUGAGGCGUUACCCGCAGAGGAAGCACCGGCUAACUCCGUGCCAGCAGCCGCGGUAAUUC